RNAcentral lists this long non-coding RNA (1022 nucleotides) under Citrus x clementina. RNAcentral describes it as "Citrus clementina (C. clementina) long non-coding RNA (CCLE_LNC002897)". Lineage: Eukaryota; Viridiplantae; Streptophyta; Magnoliopsida; Sapindales; Rutaceae. The record is from RNAcentral.
AGUAUGGGAAACACUUAACUCUAUAAAAUAAAGCUCUAUUUAUAGUUGAGCUUCAUUGUUUAAUACAUUUCAAAGUCUCAAAAAAGAGCAAAACUCUUGUAAUUCGACACGGAAUUGAAAAAAAUCCAUGCAUACGGCUUCACCUCCAAUUUGUGAAUUUUAUAUAGCCACCAAAUUGAAAAGCAAUCCACCAAAUUUGACUUUUCAACAAACUGCUCACUGCAUGAUUCAGCAACUGCAUACAAAUUAUUCAAAGUACGAUGUUAUUGUCAUAUAAGUUCCUUAGAACUUAAUUUGAAGUUAGCAAAACAUGAAGAAAUACUCAUUUAAUUCCUAUAGUUUGAACUAAUUAUCUAAUUAGUUGAUGUACUUUCAAAACAACAAUGAUAUGUAUAUAAAAAAUAGUAUAAAAAAUAGUACGUCAUUGCUAGAAAAAAAAUAACUAUAGGAUAAAAAAUUAAUACAAGAAAAGAAUUUUUGUCUUUUGUUGUUUUUAAACUAAUUUUUGUGUUAUUUUCGGUACAUAUAUCAUUAUUUAAAAAAAAAAUUAUUUAAAACAUAUUUUUGUAGUGAUUGGAUCUAAGUUUUAAGGAUAAAAUACUAUUACAUUGUUUCAACUAAUUUAAAAUUCAAAUUAAUUCAACAUUUAGGAGGUGAAGAAAAUAAAAUAUAAUUAAAUUGAUAUAAAUGAAGAAAACAAAUAGACAACAGAGAGGAUGUUUUAGAUAAUUUGUUUGGAAAAUACAAGAACUAGUUGGAUAAUUUGCUAAAACUAUGGAAAACAUUAAAAAAGACAUUGGACGAACAAACAAAAUGACACUAAUUAACGAAGACGAAUACGUAUACCUGAAAGAAACCUAUUCUUUGCAUGCUUUGAAUCAUCUCCGGAGAGCAAUUUCUGCACGUCAUGACUGGAAGCUGUUCCGUUGAAGAAUUGUCGAUGUUUCAAAUCAUUACACCUUUUACAGUAGGGCGAAUAUAUCGUGGUGGAACUGUAGUCAUCAUUGGUUUCGUUGCCAACU